GAUCCAGUGGCGCAAUCGGUUAGCGCGCCGUAUACUUAAUGCGGAGGUUGUGAGUUCGAGCCUCACUUGGAGCA
This 74-nucleotide transfer RNA is filed under the name Ciona intestinalis (vase tunicate). Its description in RNAcentral is "tRNA-Lys (CTT) (tRNA-Lys-CTT-7-1)". It matches the Rfam family "tRNA". Rfam says of the family: Transfer RNA (tRNA) molecules are approximately 80 nucleotides in length. Their secondary structure includes four short double-helical elements and three loops (D, anti-codon, and T loops). The record is from RNAcentral. Lineage: Eukaryota; Metazoa; Chordata; Ascidiacea; Phlebobranchia; Cionidae.